UGGGGAAUAUUGCACAAUGGGCGAAAGCCUGAUGCAGCAACGCCGCGUGAGUGCUGAAGGCCUUCGGGUUGUAAAGCUCUGUCUUCUGGGACGAUAAUGAAGGUACCAGAGGAGGAAGCCACGGCUAACUACGUGCCAGCAGACGCGGUACUACGUAGGUGGCAAGCGUUGUCCGGAUUUAUUGGGCGUAUAGGAUGCGUAGGUGGGCUUAUAAGUCAGUGGUGAAAUCUCCGAGCUUAACUUGGAAACUGCCGUUGAUACUAUAGGUCUUGAAUUAUCUGGAGGUAAGCGGAAUAUGUCAUGUAGCGGUGAAAUGCUUAGAUAUGACGUAGAACACCAAUUGCGAAGGCAGCUUACUACAUCGAAAUUGACGCUGAGGCACG
This 383-nucleotide ribosomal RNA is filed under the name uncultured bacterium. RNAcentral's name for it is "bacterial SSU rRNA". It matches the Rfam family "Bacterial small subunit ribosomal RNA", at positions 355 to 755 of the family's 1533-position model. The record is from RNAcentral.